RNAcentral lists this transfer RNA (76 nucleotides) under Magnetococcus marinus MC-1. Its description in RNAcentral is "tRNA-Ala (CGC) (tRNA-Ala-CGC-1-1)". It matches the Rfam family "tRNA". Rfam says of the family: Transfer RNA (tRNA) molecules are approximately 80 nucleotides in length. Lineage: Bacteria; Pseudomonadati; Pseudomonadota; Magnetococcia; Magnetococcales; Magnetococcaceae. The record is from RNAcentral.
GGGGCCGUAGCUCAACUGGGAGAGCGCGUCGUUCGCAAUGACGAGGUCGUCGGUUCGAUCCCGAUCGGCUCCACCA